Micropterus dolomieu (smallmouth bass) is the source of this 220-nucleotide long non-coding RNA. RefSeq lists it as uncharacterized. Lineage: Eukaryota; Metazoa; Chordata; Actinopteri; Centrarchiformes; Centrarchidae. The transcript is spliced from 2 exons. The record is from RefSeq and is a predicted model, not a curated record.
CCCUCCCUCUAAAAGCACUCUGUGGGGGGAACAUGGCAGCCAGACCAAAGCUCAGAGACAAGACCUAGGUUGGAUUUCAUCACAAUUAUGAACAUGCCCACAGCCUCAAAUGUUGGUAUUACAAAAAACAUGGCAAGAAAACUUCAAGUCAAAGCAGAACACCCAAUGCUGACAGUAAAAUGUUAAAGAUGUGUUGCAAAUAAACAUGCAGGUUGCCAAA